Molecule: ribosomal RNA, 481 nt
Filed under: uncultured bacterium
Lineage: Bacteria
Description: partial 16S ribosomal RNA
Rfam family: Bacterial small subunit ribosomal RNA
Source: RNAcentral
GAUGAACGCUAGCGGCAGGCCUAAUACAUGCAAGUCGAGGGGCAGCAGGAUAGCAAUAUCGCUUGCGACCGGCGCACGGGUGCGUAACACGUAUAUAAUCUGCCUUUAACAGGGGGAUAGCCCGGAGAAAUCCGGAUUAAUACCCCAUAAUAGAUCGACUGGCAUCAUUUGGUUUUGAAAGCUCCGGCGGUUACAGAUGAGUAUGCGUCUGAUUAGCUAGUUGGUGAGGUAACGGCUCACCAAGGCGACGAUCAGUAGGGGAUCUGAGAGGAUUAACCCCCACACGGAUACUGAGACACGGAUCCGACACCUACGGGAGGCAGCAGUAAGGCAUAUUGGACAAGGCCCGCAAGGGUGAUCCAGCCAUGCCGCGUGCAGGAAGACGGCCCUAGGGGUGGUAAACUGCUUUUGUGCCGGAGAAAACCUCUUCUCGUGAGAAGAGCUGAUAUUAUGGGAAGAAUAAGCAUCGGCUAACUUCGUG